GCCGCUGAACUUGAAGCUUAUUAAUAAGAGGAGGAGAAGAAAGUAACAAGGAUUCCUCUAGUAACGGCGAGUGAAGAGGGAAAAGCUCAAAUUUUGAAUCUGGUGUCUUCGACCCCCGAGUUGUAAUCUAGAGAAGUGUUUUCCGCUUUGGACCGUGUACAAGUCCCCUGGAACGGGGCGUCAUAGAGGGUGAGAAUCCCGUAUAUGCCACGGACUACCAAUGCUCUGUGAUACACUCUCAACGAGUCGAGUUGUUUGGGAAUGCAGCUCAAAAUGGGUGGUAAAUUCCAUCUAAAGCUAAAUAUUGGCGAGAGACCGAUAGCGAACAAGUGCCGUGAGGGAAAGAUGAAAAGCUCUUUGGAAAGAGAGUGAAACAGUACGUGAAAUUGUUGAAAGGGAAGCGUUUGAAGUCAGUCGUAUCUGUCGGAAUUCAGCCUGGCUUCUGCCUGGUGUACUUUCCGUCCGAUGUGUCAGCAUCAAUUUUGACCGAGGGAAAAAGACGUUCGGAAUGUGCCUGUCUUCGGGCAGUGUUAUAGCCUUGCGUUGUAUGUCUCGGUUGGGAUUGAGGAAUGCAGCGCGCCUGUUGGCCGGGGGUUCGCGCCCCUCGGUGCGCGCUUAGGAUGCUGUGCAUAAUGGCUUUAAUCGACCCGUCUUGAAACACGG
RNAcentral lists this ribosomal RNA (663 nucleotides) under uncultured fungus. RNAcentral describes it as "eukaryotic LSU rRNA". It matches the Rfam family "Eukaryotic large subunit ribosomal RNA", at positions 24 to 664 of the family's 3401-position model. The record is from RNAcentral. Lineage: Eukaryota; Fungi.